Molecule: non-coding RNA, 1909 nt
Organism: Rattus norvegicus (Norway rat)
Lineage: Eukaryota; Metazoa; Chordata; Mammalia; Rodentia; Muridae
Source: RefSeq, a predicted model, not a curated record
GCCUCCGCGCGUCAGCUCAGGCCGGCGGAGCCGUGCGAGAGUCCGCAGUGCAGCGAGCCGGCACCCCAGGCACUGCACGACCCCCACCCACAGCACAGGGAAGCCUCUGAACCCCACCCCUCUCCAUCCUUCUGGAGGACCUUGAGGGAAGAGUCUGAGGACCCCUGGGAAGUGAGAGGAGGAUUGGCCCAAUGCACGCCUGUUCGGGAAGACAACUCCCAGGACACUCAACAGAAGAGGAGAAGAGCGACCAUACCACGCAGAUGCGGGACUCGAGAUCGGCAGAGACAGACAGGCGGCUGAAGAUGAUGUGCUUAGGGUCGUAGUAGAAAUCCACCUCAUCCAGCUGCAGGAUUGGCGGUGAGAACUUCUCAAAGCCAUCAGGGAACCUAUAGGAGGUGCAAGGGUGGAGUGUGCAGGCAGCCAGAAAUGCCAGCUCCCCUCAGCUCCCCGGCUUAGCACUCACUUCAACACCACCUCCGACUCCUUGUCCACCGGCUUUAGUUCAGGUCUGAGAGGAGAGACGGAGAAAGGAUUAUUUUAACAAGACAUCAAAGCAGAAAGGAGAAUACUUGGGUAGAGAAGAAGGGAGACAGGAAGAUGAGGGGGAAGGGUCAAGAUGUAUGGAACUAAAAUGUAUGGAGAAAACUAAAAGAUGUAUAGAAAAGACACAAGGAAGCCUGAUACUUAGUAAGCUAAUUUAAAAAAUAAAGUUUGAGCUGGGCAGUGGCAGUUCACACCUUUAACCCAGUACUCAGGAAGCAGAGGGAUCUCUGGGUUCAAGGUCAUCCUGGACUAAAGACUGAAUCCAGGGCUAUCAGAAAAAGAAAAAGAAAAAGAAAAAGAAAAAGAAAAAGAAAAAAGCAUCAGCAGAAGCACCCUGUGCGUGUGGUGGCUACAACUGCUCCAAGAACCUACGGGUUAUAAGGGAAAGUCCCAGUGCCAGGGCUGGGCUACCUCCCUACAAGGUAAUGGUCAGGAAAUACCGGCAAGAGUUAGCUUAGAGAACAAAGUGUCCAGGACCAUAUUUCUCUCUGUCUCUACAUGCGCGUGAGUGCGCACACACACACACCACACACACAUACACACACACACUCAGGUUAUGGCACAGAGAAAGCUAGACAGAACUGAGAUGUAGCUCCUGCUAGCCAGCCCUGGUGCUGGGAGGUGCUCAGCAGGCUGCUGGGGGGAGAAUGGCCACCAACAGUCUGCCUGAGCCAUGGAUUUGUAUGCUACAGCACUGUCUAGUCUGGCCGGGUGUGCCCACCUGCAAGUCUAUUACGGGAUAAUCAACUGCUGAGGCCUGCUCCACAGGAGGGACUUGCAUGUGUACUGUAAGUCAGGCCCCAGCAGAGGUUAGAGCUGUUUGUUAAGUCAUCACCACGUGACCACCAACUGCCUUCUAAAUAACUACGUUUAUCCCCACAGGUUGGUCAGCUGCACUCUGAGGAGCAGUAACUGCAGAGACUCCUAACUUGUCAAAGUGCUGGUGACGAGUGACUACUGAGUGCAGUCACAAACAGGAUGUAGCAUUGCCUCAAGGGCUCAGGGAAUGUGGCAGAGACGGCAGAAGGAACUAGAGCUAGAGCGUGGGCUGGAGUGUUCUGAACAGUCCUCUGUGCAUGACCUGGCCAUGGCGCUCACUCAGAGCUGCCGGGGUUAUUACACUGGAUCUGCAUGGGACGGGGCCUGUCCUGAAGGGCUGAGCUCAUGAGCUCCUCCUACCAGUUUAUAGGCAAGUAGCGGUUGCUAGGGAGGGAGAGACAUUUUCCUCAGUAGUGUAGCCACUAGCGAUCUUCUGCAAAUAACACCUUACCCAUACUCUUGUAAGAAAUCCUAAUGAAGUUAACAUCAUGACAAAGUCCAUCACACACACACACACACACACACACACACACACACACACACA